GCUGGGCGUGGUGGCGCACACCUGUAAUCCCAACUACUCAGAAGGCUGAGGCAGGAGGAUAGCAAGUACAUGGCCAACCUCCGCAACUU
This 89-nucleotide small RNA is filed under the name Marmota monax (woodchuck). Lineage: Eukaryota; Metazoa; Chordata; Mammalia; Rodentia; Sciuridae. The record is from RNAcentral.